AGAGAGAGAGAGAGAGAGAGAGGAGUAAUGAGAGGUAGCGGUGUUGAAAGGUUGUGGUGGUGAGAAGGGGUUGUGGCGGUGGCGGUGAUGGUGACGGUAGCUAUGAUAGUGGGAGGCAACAGCUUUGUGUAUGUUCGGGUGUGUGAAAAAUCACUAUUCUUCCACAAUCACAAACCCUAACUUCCGAUUCUCAUUCGAUCCGCAACCAGUAAAUUGACUGAAACUGAAACGUUAAGAGUGAGAGCAUCACUGCUAUCAUUGUUCGAUUCACCUUCGUUCUGUUCCGAACUCUUUGUCUGAUUUGUUGAGGUGUGAUGUGGUCCGAUUUGACUCAGGAUCAUGAAGAAUCAGAUGCAAAAUUCAAGUUUCUUGAGAAGCAUCUUCAAUAGGUGAGUUUCUUUAUUAACUCGGGUCAUAUUCCUAUUAGAUAUUGUUGUUUUGAGUUUAAUAUGCUAGCGUUAACAAAAAACCUAAUAACAAUCAGACUAAUGGUGGGUAUGCGCCCACAAUUGUAUGGCUCGAUUCAUUCUAAUGUGUUUGUUUCCUUACCACUGCAAAAUCAAGUUGCGCCACAAAGAAGGCGCGUGAAGAAUGAUCUCAUAUAAAACUGCUUUUUGGAUGGCUGCAGCCCAGGAACACUAUGCAACUGAACGCCUUAAAUAAGCUGGAUCACCUAUCGCCAUCGUCUUCCCGAAACAUACACUCGGAAAACAACUUUUGUACAACUUAUCCACGGAAAUAUUUUGUACAGACUUGGUAGGUAAGGGUAGGCGAUGUGAAUGUACUGUGAUAUAUAACUGCUCCCCGCAGCAUCGCGGCGGGUGGUAAA
Molecule: long non-coding RNA, 829 nt
Organism: Helianthus annuus (common sunflower)
Lineage: Eukaryota; Viridiplantae; Streptophyta; Magnoliopsida; Asterales; Asteraceae
Exons: 3
Source: RefSeq, a predicted model, not a curated record